CGCAGCAGCUCCCUGCCCUCUCGGCCCACGCCCGCCAUGGUCAGUCCGCGCCGUGCCCCCUAUCGCUCCGGCGCCGGGGGUCCCCUCGGCGGUCGCGGCCGCCCCCAGCGGCCCCUAGUAGUGUGCGCCGUCCGCUCGCGCUCCUGGCCGGCCACAGCCUCCGCGGAUCCGGGCCCGUUCGGCCCCUCCCAUGGAAGGUGCUCGGGUCUUCGGGACGCUGGGUCCCAUCGGUCCCUCCUCGCCUGGGCUCACCCUCGGGGGUCUGGCAGUGAGCGAGCACCGGCUCAGCAACAAGCUGCUUGCCUGGAUCGGCGUCCUGGAGUGGCAGGAGAAGCGCAGACCCUACUCUGACUCCACCGCGAAACUGAAGCGGACCUUGCCCUGCCAAGCCUGUGUGAACCAAGGGGAGAACCUGGAGACUGACCAGUGGCCGCAGAAGCUGAUCAUGCAGCUGAUCCCACAGCAGCUGCUGACCACGCUGGGCCCACUGUUCCGCAACUCCCAGCUGGCACAGUUCCACUUCACCAACAGAGACUGUGACUCGCUCAAGGGGCUCUGCCGAGUCAUGGGCAACGGCUUCGCGGACUGCAUGCUGUUCCCCCACAUCUUCCCCUGUGAGGUGCGCGUGCUCAUGCUCCUGUACUCGUCCAAGAAGAAGAUCUUCAUGGGCCUCAUCCCCUACGACCAGAGCGGUUUCGUCAGCGCCAUCCGGCAGGUCAUCACCACCCGCAAGCAGGCAGUGGGACCUGGUGGCGUCAACGCAGGCCCAGUGCAGAUCGUCAACAACAAGUUCCUGGCGUGGCGCGGUGUCAUGGAGUGGCAGGAGCCCAGGCCUGAGCCCAACAGCCGGUCCAAGAGGUGGCUGCCGUCCCACGUCUACGUGAACCAGGGAGAGAUCCUGAGGACCGAGCAGUGGCCAAGAAAGCUGUGCAUGCAGCUCAUCCCGCAGCAGCUGCUGACCACGCUGGUGCCGCAGUUUUGAAACUCACUCCUGGUGCAAUUCCACUUCACCAAGGACCUGGAGACGCUGAAGAGCCUGUGCCGCAUCAUGGACAAUGGCUUCGCUGGCUGCGUGCACUUUUCCUACAAAGCGUCGUGUGAGAUCCGCGUGCUCAUGCUCCUGUACUCUUCAGAGAAGAAAAUCUUCAUCGGCCUCAUCCCCCAUGACCAGGGCAACUUUGUCAACGGCAUCCGGCGCGUCAUUGCCAACCAACAGCAGGUCCUACACCGGAACCUGGAGCAGGAGCAGCAGCAGCAGCGAGGGAUGGGGGGGUAGUGGCUACCCUGGGCUGGGUCCCUCCAGGAGUCACAGACGAGGCCCCUGCAGAGACUGGUGACACGCUUCUGAGCAGGGGCCCUUGGGGACUUGACUGCCCAGAAACAUGG
This is an RNA transcript of Callithrix jacchus (white-tufted-ear marmoset), 1386 nucleotides long. It is a transcript of the gene named prostate tumor-overexpressed gene 1 protein pseudogene, with no coding region annotated. The record is from RefSeq and is a predicted model, not a curated record. NCBI's taxonomy places the organism in Eukaryota, Metazoa, Chordata, Mammalia, Primates, Cebidae.